This is a non-coding RNA of Oncorhynchus mykiss (rainbow trout), 2173 nucleotides long. The record is from RefSeq and is a predicted model, not a curated record. NCBI's taxonomy places the organism in Eukaryota, Metazoa, Chordata, Actinopteri, Salmoniformes, Salmonidae.
UCUGACCAGUUGACCCAACUCUGGAAAUACCUUUGUCCUCUUUGAAGGGAUACUUUGGGAUUUGGUAUUGAGGCCCUUUAUCUACGUCCCCAAACUCUUGGAUACCAUGUUUAUGUUUCUGCUUGCAGUUUGAAGGAAGUUGCUGACUGGCGGCAGCACAAUUGACUUGCCUAGUGGAAUAAAGGUUCAAUAAAACAUCUAAAAAUAAUAAUAAUUGCUAACUAGCGUAGCGCUAACGCUAGUUGGCAUUGGCUCACAAAACAACCUUUAACUUCUUUCACACUGGACACAGAGACAGAAAAAUGGGAUCCACAAGUUCAUCUGACUGGUGAAGUAGAUGAAAGACCUCGUUGCCAAAAUCCCAAAGUAUCCCUUUAAGCUUUUGUAAAAAACAAAACUUUAGAUAUUUUAUCCUGAUAAUGUCACUGUUGAUAAUGUCAGAUAUUACACAUCAAUAAAUGGUUUUAGUUCAGUUUAGUUAGGUGUGACUAAAGAGGUGUCAGACAGAAGGUGUGACUAAAGAGGUGUCAGGCAGAAGGUGUGACUAAAGAGGUGUCAGGCAGAAGGUGUGACUAAAGAGGUGUCAGGCAGAAGGUGUGACUAAAGAGAAGAGGUGUCAGGCAGAAGGUGUGACUAAAGAGAAGAGGUGUCAGGCAGAAGGUGUGACUAAAGAGAAGAGGUGUCAGGCAGAAGGUGUGACUAAAGAGAAGAGGUGUCAGGCAGAAGGUGUGACUAAAGAGGUGUCAGGCAGAAGGUGUGACUAAAGAGAAGAGGUGUCAGGCAGAAGGUGUGACUAAAGAGAAGAGGUGUCAGGCAGAAGGUGUGGCUAAAGAGAAGAGGUGUCAGGCAGAAGGUGUGACUAAAGAGGUGUCAGGCAGAAGGUGUGACUAAAGAGAAGAGGUGUCAGGCAGAAGGUGUGACUAAAGAGAAGAGGUGUCAGGCAGAAGGUGUGACUAAAGAGAAGAGGUGUCAGGCAGAAGGUGUGACUAAAGAGAAGAGGUGUCAGGCAGAAGGUGUGACUAAAGAGAAGAGGUGUCAGGCAGAAGGUGUGACUAAAGAGAAGAGGUGUCAGGCAGAAGGUGUGACUAAAGAGAAGAGGUGUCAGGCAGAAGGUGUGACUAAAGAGAAGAGGUGUCAGGCAGAAGGUGUGACUAAAGAGAUGUCAGUGUAGACAGAAGGUGUGACUAAAGAGGUGUCAGGCAGAAGGUGUGGCUAAAGAGGUGUCAGGCAGAAGGUGUGACUAAAGAGAAGAGGUGUCAGGCAGAAGGUGUGACUAAAGAGGUGUCAGGCAGAAGGUGUGACUAAAGAGGCGUCAGUGUGGGCAGAAGGUGUGACUAAAGAGAAGAGGUGUCAGGCAGAAGGUGUGACUAAAGAGAAGAGGUGUCAGGCAGAAGGUGUGACUAAAGAGAAGAGGUGUCAGGCAGAAGGUGUGACUAAAGAGGUGUCAGGCAGAAGGUGUGACUAAAGAGAAGAGGUGUCAGGCAGAAGGUGUGACUAAAGAGGUGUUAAUUAAUAUUGUCCUGACCCCAGUCAUUAUCUGAGUAGGGUGAUACUGGUAUUGUCCUGACCCCAGCCAUUAUCUGAGUAGGGUGAUACUGGUAUUGUCCUGACCCCAGUCAUUAUCUGAGUAGGGUGAUACUGGUAUUGUCCUGACCCCAGUCAUUAUCUGAGUAGGGUGAUACUGGUAUUGUCCUGACCCCAGUCAUUAUCUGAGUAGGGUGAUACUGGUAUUGUCCUGACCCCAGUCAUUAUCUGAGUAGGGUGAUACUGGUAUCGUCCUGACCCCAGUCAUUAUCUGAGUAGGGUGAUACUGGUAUUGUCCUGACCCCAGUCAUUAUCUGAGUAGGGUGAUACUGGUAUUGUCCUGACCCCAGUCAUUAUCUGAGUAGGGUGAUACUGGUAUCGCCCCGACCCCAGUCAUUAUCUGAGUAGGGUGAUACUGGUAUCGCCCUGACCCCAGUCAUUAUCUGAGUAGGGUGAUACUGGUAUCGACCUGACCCCAGUCAUUGUCUGAGUAGGGUGAUACUGGUAUCGCCCUGACCCCAGUCAUUGUCUGAGUAGGGUGAUACUGGUAUCGCCCUGACCCCAGUCAUUGUCUGAGUAGGGUGAUACUGGUAUCGACCUGACCCCAGUCAUUAUCCGUUUAGACUUAACAUGAACUAACACUAUCUUC